This 727-nucleotide long non-coding RNA is filed under the name Mytilus galloprovincialis (Mediterranean mussel). Lineage: Eukaryota; Metazoa; Mollusca; Bivalvia; Mytilida; Mytilidae. The record is from RNAcentral.
UCACUGGGGUAAAGCUGAUGACCGUAACUGCAUUCACGGUCAUCCCAAGAUGUCGGAUGAAAAAUUAGGUCAGUUUCUGUAUUGUCUGUUAAAGUGUUUCUAUAUCAUUUUCUUUACAAAUCAUACAUUGAAACGAUGUAAAUUUAUAAAAGAAUCACUCGAAAAUCACUAAUUACUUCCGAGAAAUGUGCAUGAAACGGGAAAUUCGAUUUGAAAAAAUCGUUAAGAUGACCGUAAAUCAUAAUCAAAAUAUUUUCAAGAUGACCGUAACAUAAAACAAGGAUGACCGUGAUUGGUAAAAAGAUGACCGUAACUUGUAAAGGAUGACCGUAAUUUGUAAAGACUGACUGUAAUUUAUAUAGGACGACCGUAACUUUUAUAGGAUGACCAUCAAUUCUAAGAAAUAUCCGUAUUGUAUUCAAAGCUUUUUUGUUGAGUUUGUCGAUCUCAAUAGGGGCUCGGUUAGCGGAUAUAAAUAUGUUUCAUAAAUUUCUUUUUUUAAACUAUAAUAUAAUUGGCCAUAUUUAGGAUUUAUAACAAUGAUAGUAAAUUGCAUAUUUCUCGUAAACAAUGAAAUAUUUAUUGAUAUCGACGUUAAAAUUUUAACACAAAUUGACAGCGAUACGACGAAAAUUUGAAGAAACAUGAAUGUGUCCCUAGUACACGGAUGCCUCAUCUACACUAUCAUUUUCUAUGUUUAGUGGACUAUGAAAAUGGGAUAAAACUG